This 236-nucleotide long non-coding RNA is filed under the name Ananas comosus (pineapple). RNAcentral describes it as "long non-coding RNA (ACOM_LNC025002)". The record is from RNAcentral. Lineage: Eukaryota; Viridiplantae; Streptophyta; Magnoliopsida; Poales; Bromeliaceae.
UAGUUGUACUUAUGUUUAGUUUGCUAUUGAGAAAUAUCUGACACUACUAAAUAAAAUAAAAUUUGAAUGCAAAUAUAUAGAAAUAUAUUUCUACGUUCUCUGAUGGGACAAUAGAAAAUAUAUCGUAUCUGACUCAUCACGAUAUGCGAAAUGUAAUAUCACACAUGAAAAUAAAUAGAAUAUUUUUUCAUCAUCGCGAUAUGCAAUUCCAAACCUUAUUUGGGUCGCUUUUUAAU